This 377-nucleotide ribosomal RNA is filed under the name uncultured eukaryote. Its description in RNAcentral is "partial 18S ribosomal RNA". It matches the Rfam family "Eukaryotic small subunit ribosomal RNA", at positions 592 to 976 of the family's 1831-position model. The record is from RNAcentral.
CAAUAGCGUAUAUUAAAGUUGUUGCAGUUAAAAAGCUCGUAGUUGGAUUUCGGGACGGGCCAGUUGGUCCGCCGCAAGGUGUGUUACUGACUGGUCUGUUCUUCUUCGCAAAGACUGCGUGUGCUCUUCGUUGAGUGUGCGUAGGAUUUACGACGUUUACUUUGAAAAAAUUAGAGUGUUCAAAGCAGGCUAUCGCUUGAAUACAUGAGCAUGGAAUAAUGGAAUAGGACUUUGGUCCUAUUUUGUUGGUUUCUAGGACCGAAGUAAUGAUUAAGAGGGACAAUUGGGGCAUCCGUAUUUCGUUGUCAGAGGUGAAAUUCUUGGAUUUACGAAAGACGAACAACUGCGAAAGCACUUGCCAAGAGUGUUUUCAUUAA